RNAcentral lists this ribosomal RNA (253 nucleotides) under uncultured bacterium. Its description in RNAcentral is "partial 16S ribosomal RNA". It matches the Rfam family "Bacterial small subunit ribosomal RNA", at positions 524 to 776 of the family's 1533-position model. The record is from RNAcentral.
UACGGAGGGUGCAAGCGUUAAUCGGAAUUACUGGGCGUACAGCGCACGCAGGCGGUCUGUCAAGUCGGAUGUGAAAUCCCCGGGCUCAACCCGGGAACUGCAUUCGAAACUGGCAGACUAGAGUCUUGUAGAGGGGGGUAGAAUUCCAGGUGUAGCGGUGAAAUGCGUAGAGAUCUGGAGGAAUUCCGGUGGCGAAGGCGGCGCCAUGGACGAAGACUGACGCUCAGGUGCUAAAGCGUGGGGAGCAAACAGG